RNAcentral lists this unclassified non-coding RNA (401 nucleotides) under uncultured Cortinarius. RNAcentral's name for it is "sequence contains ITS2". The stretch from base 1 to 154 matches the Rfam family "5.8S ribosomal RNA". Lineage: Eukaryota; Fungi; Basidiomycota; Agaricomycetes; Agaricales; Cortinariaceae. The record is from RNAcentral.
AACUUUCGGCAAUGGAUCUCUUGGCUCUCGCAUCGAUGAAGAACGCAGCGAAAUGCGAUAAGUAAUGUGAAUUGCAGAAUUCAGUGUAUCAUCGAAUCUUUGAACGCACCUUGCGCUCCUUGGUAUUCCGAGGAGCAUGCCUGUUUGAGUGUCAUUAAUAUAUAUCAAACUUCUCUUGUUGAGUUGUUUGGAUGUGGGGGUUUGCUGGCCUCUUAAAGGGGUUCAGCUCUCCUGAAAUGCAUUAGCAGAACAACCUGUUCAUUGGUGUGAUAACUAUCUACGCUAUUGAAUGUGAAGGGAAGUUCAGCUUUCUAACAGUCUUUGGACAAAUUCAUCAUUAAUGUGACCUCAAAUCAGGUAGGACUACCCGCUGAACUUAAGCAUAUCAAUAAGCGGAGGCU